RNAcentral lists this transfer RNA (70 nucleotides) under Rattus norvegicus (Norway rat). It matches the Rfam family "tRNA". From Rfam's summary of the family: Transfer RNA (tRNA) molecules are approximately 80 nucleotides in length. Their secondary structure includes four short double-helical elements and three loops (D, anti-codon, and T loops). Further hydrogen bonds mediate the characteristic L-shaped molecular structure. tRNAs have two regions of fundamental functional importance: the anti-codon, which is responsible for specific mRNA codon recognition, and the 3' end, to which the tRNAs corresponding amino acid is attached (by aminoacyl-tRNA synthetases). tRNAs cope with the degeneracy of the genetic code in two manners: having more than one tRNA (with a specific anti-codon) for a particular amino acid; and 'wobble' base-pairing, i.e. permitting non-standard base-pairing at the 3rd anti-codon position. Lineage: Eukaryota; Metazoa; Chordata; Mammalia; Rodentia; Muridae. The record is from Rfam by way of RNAcentral.
GGAGAGGGGGCUUAAUUAGUAGAGCGUUUGCCUCACAUGCAUAAAACCCUGGGUUUAACCCGGGCCUCCA